UAGCACAAUGUUGCUUUGCACCCUGGACCGC
This 31-nucleotide non-coding RNA is filed under the name Mus musculus (house mouse). The record is from RNAcentral. Lineage: Eukaryota; Metazoa; Chordata; Mammalia; Rodentia; Muridae.